CAUAAGCUCUCGUGCGGUCUCCUGAAGACCUCCAGCUCACCCGCAUCCGCAUGCCCGCCGCCUGCGCCGCUCGCGCCUCCAAAGACCUCCACAGCAGCGGCUCCGCACCAUCCCAAGUUUUCCCCCUUUUCUCUCCACGGGUUUUUUUGGGCUUUUCUGCAGGUUUUUGACGAACCGAACAGGCCCUAAGGGUGUAUUUAUUUUUAGGAUCUAUAAUCCACCUCUGGUAAGCUUUCAAACAUGAUUCAAUAAUCGUCAAAACUCCUAAAAAAUUUUGUUUUGCUCUCUCACUUCAACCUCAAUCUCGCUGCUGCUUCGAGAAUCGCCGCUUCAAAUUCGAUCAGCGAUCAGAUCAAAAUCCUCUCGCUCCAUCUCCGGUGACCAGAAAAUCCUAGUUAAUUCCUAACCUUGAAAGCCUUCUCAAAAUCUCACAUGGAUGAUGUAAAUAUGGAGGUUGAAGAAGAGAACGAAGAAGAUGAGGACAUUGACUUUAAUCCGUUUCUUAGAGGAGAUUCCCCUUCCGAAGCCUCUUCAAGUUUGAGUUCUGAGAAUGAAGGUCCAACCGACAAUGUUGAGAGAGAAUUCGGGAGCUCAUCAAAUUUAAAAGAUGCUAGUUUGUCAUUUAGACAACCAGAGGAGAUGCGAAUUGUGAUGCAAAUGACAGCCCAUCGAGGAGAUGGUCUUACAGGCAGUCCAACGAAGACAGAGAUUAACUUCCAUCGAUCAG
Molecule: long non-coding RNA, 727 nt
Organism: Asparagus officinalis (garden asparagus)
Lineage: Eukaryota; Viridiplantae; Streptophyta; Magnoliopsida; Asparagales; Asparagaceae
Exons: 3
Source: RefSeq, a predicted model, not a curated record